RNAcentral lists this ribosomal RNA (484 nucleotides) under uncultured bacterium. Its description in RNAcentral is "partial 16S ribosomal RNA". It matches the Rfam family "Bacterial small subunit ribosomal RNA", at positions 30 to 507 of the family's 1533-position model. The record is from RNAcentral.
AUUGAACGCUGGCGGCAGGCCUAACACAUGCAAGUCGAGCGGAUGAAGGAAGCUUGCUCCUGGAUUCAGCGGCGGACGGGUGAGUAAUGCCUAGGAAGCUGCCUUGUAGUGGGGGAUAACGUCCGGAAACGGGCGCUAAUACCGCAUACGUACUGAGUGAGAAAGUGGGGGAUCUUAGGACCUCACGCUAUCAGAUGAGCCUAGUUCGGAUUAGCUAGUUGGUUGGGUAAAUGCCUACCAAGGCGACGAUCCAUAACUGAACUGAGAGGGUGAUCAGUCACACUGGAACUGAGACACGGUCCAGACUCCUACGGGAGGCAGCAGUGGGGAAUAUUGGACAAUGGGCGAAAGCCUGACGCAGCAAUGCCGCGUGUGUGAAGAAGGUCUUCGGAUUGUAAAGCACUUUAAGUUGGGAGGAAGGGAAGUAAGUUAAUACCUUCCUGUCUUGACGUUACCAACAGAAUAAGCCACGGCUAACUUCGUG